Molecule: long non-coding RNA, 2103 nt
Organism: Lagopus leucura (white-tailed ptarmigan)
Lineage: Eukaryota; Metazoa; Chordata; Aves; Galliformes; Phasianidae
Exons: 4
Source: RefSeq, a predicted model, not a curated record
UCAGUACAGCCCUGAAUUACAUGAUAAUCUGCGACACUUAGCACAGAUUAAACAGUGCUCAGCCCCUGUCUCGGCCACAGUAGUAUGCGAGGCAAAUCAUUCCUCCAGACCUUGGUUUCCCUGUCUGCAAGAUAGGCUAAUGUGGCUUUGUGUGCUUUCUGUCUGCAGCUUUAUCUGUGCUGCAUUUCAGGAGAAUUGAAAGACGACAAGCACAGAUCUUGCUCCCUGGAGGAGGAGAUCUGCAAAGCUCAGUGUUGCGAAGCAGACUGCCAUGGUAACAGCAUCAGUCUUAGCAAGGUCCCACCAUAAAGUAAACUGUGGUGGCACUAUCAGUACAGUAAAUAACACAGCGGGCUCUGAAGUCUGAUGAGGGAGGAAGAUGACUCAGGAUAUAUCACAGUUCACAUGUGUGGCUUUCAUAUGAACUUCUGCAUGUGGAUGUAAAAAUGCCAGUUUUACUACAGCUGUAAAUUGCUCACGGCAAACAAAACAACCCUUACCCAACAGUGUGGCCACUAUUCCCAGCAAUCCAGUUCCAGCUCCCAGCUCAAUCACCGACCGAUCCCUGAGAUCGAUGCCUCCCAUCUCCAGAUAAGCAGACAGGACGACAGCCUGAGCCAGGAGACAAGCAGGGUGAGAGUUUAGCACAGCAAUGAAGUUGGGAGAAAUGUAACUCGGUUUGCCUUUAAAUGCUGCAGAAGGCAAUAUGGAUAUCUGAGCUGCAGAUAAAUUUGCAAAGUAGGAAACUGCUCAUUGUAAGAAAUCUUCUCUUGGCUGCUAAAUGUUUAAAAUCCUUCCUUUGAAAUGAAUACAGCAGUUCUUGUGGUGGUUCUGCAGACACUGCAUAUACCAAAUGGAUCUUGGAGACAUGCACAACGUGAGGAAAAUACUGCAUCCAUCUCACAGUCUCUGGUUGCCACAGCAAAGACAGGAAAACUGCAUACAUCACCUGGAGUACAGCUAUUUCCAAUGCUUGGCUCCUCAGGAAGAGGAGCUGUGCCAGCUCUGCCCAGCAGCACAGAGCACAGCCUCCUUGAUUUCAGCGCAUCUGAGAUUCUCUUCUCAGGUGUAAGGUCUCCAUAACUCCACUGCUGCAGUCCAUUCUCUUGAGUCUCCAAUACGUGCGGAUGCUAGUUUUAUGUUUUCUUAGGACAAAAUGAAGACAAGAUCCAAAAAAAGACUCCAAGGUCAAAAAACAUUUACUGCCAUAUGCUUGUGCUGUUGGCAUCACUGCAGUGAUCCAGGUGCUCGCAUGCUAAGAACCUCCGCACUGCCUGUGCUGACAUCCAGGAUUGCUGCAGAGACACAGAGGUACAGGUGGGAUCAAUUACAGCCAUGCUGGAUUCUGUGUGCUGCGAGGCACAGCUCCCAGCCCUGCUGGCACUGCUCACCGCUUGUCAGUAGUACAGGAGGUGAUCUGAAAACUGAGAAUGUUAGGGCUACUAAACCUCACCCUGUGACCCUGUGUGUUCUGAACAACCUCACUGGUUUCUUUUUUUACUCACACCCUAGCGGAAGCACUGGAUCUAUUUCCCUAAGUACUUUUUUUGUUUCAGUUUUUUUCCCUUAAAUGGCCACAGCCUUAUGUUACUGCUGAGCCUCAGAAGACAAUCAUGCCUGCAGUAUUUUCAUCCUGUCAGCUGGUGCUGGAUUUCAAAACAGGAUGCCCACUUUUCCCCCCAUUAUUCACAGCAGUGAGAUGCAGAAUCCGGAGCUUUUGUUUCCAGUUGGUUACACGGUCCAACGUGUGAUUCAUUCUUCCUGCAGCCAUGUUUCCAGGAAAAGACAAUACUGUGGCCUCUCUCCAAGUCACCCGCAGACUGCUGGAGGCUUGAGCUGGAGAGUGCUCCUGUGCCUGCAGCUGAGACACUUUCUAAGAAGAGAUGAAGGGACGAGGCCUCAGGCGUGGACUGCUGUUAUCUCUCAACAAACAAGCAAGGAGGGACACAGCCUUGGGAAAGCACAUGCAGCACAGAAUCAAGGUGCAGAUAAGAGCAGAAUGUACAGGAUUUAAAAUUCUUGGCCCUGUGAAGCACAACAAGCAUCUGCAAAGAGCUAGUCUCUGUUCUUGGGAUUGAGGCUGAUUGCCAAGCCAGUGGCUUA